This 391-nucleotide ribosomal RNA is filed under the name Chrysophyceae sp. RNAcentral's name for it is "partial small subunit ribosomal RNA". It matches the Rfam family "Eukaryotic small subunit ribosomal RNA", at positions 582 to 975 of the family's 1831-position model. Lineage: Eukaryota; Chrysophyceae. The record is from RNAcentral.
AUUCCAGCUCCAAUAGCGUAUACUAAAGUUGUUGCAGUUAAAAAGCUCGUAGUUGAAUUUCUGGAUGUGAAAGGUGGUCGGCACCUCACGGUGUCUGUACUUAUCAUUCGCGUCCAUCCUCGGGAGGAACAUGUGGACACUUAAGUGGGUCUGCUUGGGAAUCUCGUCAUUUACUGUGAGCAAAAUAGAGUGUUCAAAGCAGGCUUAUGCCGUUGAAUAUAUUAGCAUGGAAUAAUAAGAUACGACUUUGGUCUAUUUUGUUGGUUUACAUUCCAAAGUAAUGAUUAAUAGGGAUAGUUGGGGGUAUUCGUAUUCAAUUGUCAGAGGUGAAAUUCUUGGAUUUAUGGAAGACGAACUACUGCGAAAGCAUUUACCAAGGAUGUUUUCAUCG